This 27-nucleotide non-coding RNA is filed under the name Homo sapiens (human). The record is from RNAcentral. Lineage: Eukaryota; Metazoa; Chordata; Mammalia; Primates; Hominidae.
UCCCGACAGUGACUCAGUGAACUCCGU